This 721-nucleotide ribosomal RNA is filed under the name uncultured Neisseriales bacterium. RNAcentral's name for it is "bacterial SSU rRNA". It matches the Rfam family "Bacterial small subunit ribosomal RNA", at positions 21 to 726 of the family's 1533-position model. Lineage: Bacteria; Pseudomonadati; Pseudomonadota; Betaproteobacteria; Neisseriales. The record is from RNAcentral.
GGCUCAGAUUGAACGCUGGCGGCAUGCUUUACACAUGCAAGUCGAACGGCAGCGGGGAGGAGCUUGCUUCUCUGCCGGCGAGUGGCGAACGGGUGAGUAAUACAUCGGAACGUGUCGAGAAGAGGGGGAUAACCACCCGAAAGGGUGGCUAAUACCGCAUAAAUUCUGAGGAAGAAAGCUGGGGACCUAGGAAUAGGCCUAGCGCUUUUUGAGCGGCCGAUGUCGGAUUAGCUAGUUGGUGAGGUAAAGGCUCACCAAGGCGAAGAUCUGUAGCGGGUCUGAGAGGAUGAUCCGCCACACUGGGACUGAGACACGGCCCAGACUCCUACGGGAGGCAGCAGUGGGGAAUUUUGGACAAUGGGGGCAACCCUGAUCCAGCCAUGCCGCGUGUAUGAAGAAGGCCUUAGGGUUGUAAAGUACUUUUGUUAGGGAAGAAAAGUCAGCUGUGAAUAAUGGCUGAUACUGACGGUACCUAAAGAAUAAGCACCGGCUAACUACGUGCCAGCAGCCGCGGUAAUACGUAGGGUGCGAGCGUUAAUCGGAAUUAUUGGGCGUAAAGCGAGUGUAGACGGUUAUUUAAGCCACGAUGUGAAAUACCCGAGCCUAACUUGGGAGGUGCAUAUGGAACUGGGUAGCUAGAGUGUGUCAGAGGGAGGUAGAACUCCACGUGUAGCAGUGAAAUGCGUAGAGAUGUGGAAGAAUACCGAUGGCGAAGGCAGCC